GAGUGAACGCUGGCGGUAGGCCUAACACAUGCAAGUCGAACGGCAGCACAGUAAGGGCUUGCUCUUACGGGUGGCGAGUGGCGGACGGGUGAGGAAUACAUCGGAAUCUACUUUUUCGUGGGGGAUAACGUAGGGAAACUUACGCUAAUACCGCAUACGACCUACGGGUGAAAGCAGGGGAUCUUCGGACCUUGCGCGAUUGAAUGAGCCGAUGUCGGAUUAGCUAGUUGGCGGGGUAAAGGCCCACCAAGGCGACGAUCCGUAGCUGGUCUGAGAGGAUGAUCAGCCACACUGGAACUGAGACACGGUCCAGACUCCUACGGGAGGCAGCAGUGGGGAAUAUUGGACAAUGGGCGCAAGCCUGAUCCAGCCAUACCGCGUGGGUGAAGAAGGCCUUCGGGUUGUAAAGCCCUUUUGUUGGGAAAGAAAAGCAGCAGGUUAAUACCCCGCUGUUCUGACGGUACCCAAAGAAUAAGCACCGGCUAACUUCGUG
This 493-nucleotide ribosomal RNA is filed under the name uncultured bacterium. RNAcentral describes it as "partial 16S ribosomal RNA". It matches the Rfam family "Bacterial small subunit ribosomal RNA", at positions 27 to 507 of the family's 1533-position model. The record is from RNAcentral.